UACGGGGGGGGCAAGCGUUGUUCGGAAUUACUGGGCGUAAAGGGCGCGUAGGCGGCUUGCUAAGUCGGAUGUGAAAUCCCUCGGCUCAACCGAGGAACUGCAUUCGAUACUGGCGGGCUUGAAUCCGGGAGAGGGGUGUGGAAUUCCAGGUGUAGCGGUGAAAUGCGUAGAGAUCGGGCGGAACACCAGCGGCGAAGGCGGCAUCCUGGCCCUUACCUGACGCUGAGGCGCGAGAGCGUGGGGAGCAAACCGG
Molecule: ribosomal RNA, 253 nt
Filed under: uncultured bacterium
Lineage: Bacteria
Description: partial 16S ribosomal RNA
Rfam family: Bacterial small subunit ribosomal RNA
Source: RNAcentral